AUAGUAAAGCAGGCAAGCGUCGGCUCCCGAACUGGGUCAGGACAGGAAUGUAGCAGCCCUAAGGUUGUUCGAAGUUGUGCUUGUGUACAUAUUU
RNAcentral lists this signal recognition particle RNA (94 nucleotides) under Leuconostoc carnosum. RNAcentral describes it as "signal recognition particle sRNA small type". It matches the Rfam family "Bacterial small signal recognition particle RNA". Rfam says of the family: The signal recognition particle (SRP) is a universally conserved ribonucleoprotein involved in the co-translational targeting of proteins to membranes. Archaeal SRP consists of a 7S RNA and homologues of the eukaryotic SRP19 and SRP54 proteins. RNAcentral also lists the same sequence under 2 other names. The record is from RNAcentral. Lineage: Bacteria; Bacillati; Bacillota; Bacilli; Lactobacillales; Lactobacillaceae.